GUUUCCGGGUCGGGUCAACCCGGCGCUUAUGAGAAACCGGAUCGAAAAGAAGGUCACAAAUCCGAUACCGGGGUUUCAUCUGGAGGGUACGCAAAGAGAUCCGACGAAGAAGGGUUCGGAGCAGAAUAUGGGGGGAAUCAGUCUCUUUCUAAGGACGAUGAGGAUAAAAUUGUCCAUGGAAAUUCCCCUGAAUAUGAGCAGAGUAAGAAGAGUUCAUGAAGAGUCGAAGG
Erythranthe guttata (spotted monkey flower) is the source of this 230-nucleotide non-coding RNA. NCBI's taxonomy places the organism in Eukaryota, Viridiplantae, Streptophyta, Magnoliopsida, Lamiales, Phrymaceae. The record is from RefSeq and is a predicted model, not a curated record.